This 1047-nucleotide ribosomal RNA is filed under the name Hyphochytrium sp. RNAcentral's name for it is "LSU rRNA". It matches the Rfam family "Eukaryotic large subunit ribosomal RNA", at positions 74 to 931 of the family's 3401-position model. RNAcentral also lists the same sequence under 1 other name. Lineage: Eukaryota; Hyphochytriomycetes; Hyphochytriales; Hyphochytriaceae. The record is from RNAcentral.
AUUCCCCUAGUAACGGCGAGUGAAGCGGGAAGAGCUCAAGCUUAAAAUCGGUGUGGCCCCGCCACUCUGAAUUGUAGUCUAUAGAAGCGCCUGCCAGUGUUGGCCCCGGGAGAAGUCUCUUGGAACAGGGCAUCAUAGAGGGUGACAAUCCCGUCUGUGCCCGGGGAUCCAUCAUGUACGGCACGCUUUCAUCGAGUCGAGUUGCUUGGGACUGCAGCUCAAAAUGGGUGGUAAAUUCCAUCUAAAGCUAAAUAUGGGCGAGAGACCGAUAGCGAACAAGUACCGUGAGGGAAAGAUGCAAAGAACUUUGAAAAGAGAGUUAAAAAGUACUUGAAAUUGCUGAAAGGGAAGCGAAUCAAACCAGUGUUGAUGCGUGUUCAUUUUUCAGUGUGGUUCGGGCUUGGCCUGGCGUGUUGGUGAGGAGUCACAUCCCUCCGCUGCUUGGUGUUUGUCCCGAUCUCCGCUGCGCUGUGAGCACGCGUAGCUCAGCAUCAGUUCUUGUUCCCGCGGGAUAUGCCAGUGUGGGAGGUAGAUCACAGUUCGCUGUGCUUGUUAUAUCCAUAUUGGCGUGUCGUGGGUAGGACUGAGGAUUUUCACAGUGUACGCCUUUUCGGCUGGGUGCGUGUUGGUCUGUGUUGGUCGCUCGCUUGGACUGCUCGUCAGUGUCUGUGGGUUUGAUUGAUGCCUUCCAGCUCGUGGUCCAUGUACGCUCGGGAUGCUGAGGAAAUGGUUUGAUCCGGCCCGUCUUGAAACACGGACCAAGGAGUCUAACAUCUAUGCGAGUAUUCGGGUGGCAAACCCUUGUGCGCAAUGAAAGUGAAGGUUGAUGUAGGUCAACUGAGGUAGGACGGGUGGUCUCGGCCGCCCCGCACUAUCGACCGGCCAUGAUCCUCUGUGAGAAAGGUCUGAGUGUGAGCAUAUGUGUUGGGACCCGAAAGAUGGUGAACUAUGCCUGAAUAGGGUGAAGCCAGGGGAAACUCUGGUGGAGGCUCGUAGCGAUUCUGACGUGCAAAUCGAUCGUCAAAUUUGGGUAUAGGGGCGAAAGAC